AGAGUUUGAUCAUGGCUCAGAUUGAACGCUGGCGGCAGGCCUAACACAUGCAAGUCGAACGGUAACAGGAAACAGCUUGCUGUUUCGCUGACGAGUGGCGGACGGGUGAGUAAUGUCUGGGAAACUGCCUGAUGGAGGGGGAUAACUACUGGAAACGGUAGCUAAUACCGCAUAAUGUCGCAAGACCAAAGAGGGGGACCUUCGGGCCUCUUGCCAUCGGAUGUGCCCAGAUGGGAUUAGCUGGUAGGUGGGGUAACGGCUCACCUAGGCGACGAUCCCUAGCUGGUCUGAGAGGAUGACCAGCCACACUGGAACUGAGACACGGUCCAGACUCCUACGGGAGGCAGCAGUGGGGAAUAUUGCACAAUGGGCGCAAGCCUGAUGCAGCCAUGCCGCGUGUAUGAAGAAGGCCUUCGGGUUGUAAAGUACUUUCAGCGGGGAGGAAGGGAGUAAAGUUAAUACCUUUGCUCAUUGACGUUACCCGCAGAAGAAGCACCGGCUAACUCCGUGCCAGCAGCCGCGGUAAUACGGAGGGUGCAAGCGUUAAUCGGAAUUACUGGGCGUAAAGCGCACGCAGGCGGUUUGUUAAGUCAGAUGUGAAAUCCCCGGGCUCAACCUGGGAACUGCAUCUGAUACUGGCAAGCUUGAGUCUCGUAGAGGGGGGUAGAAUUCCAGGUGUAGCGGUGAAAUGCGUAGAGAUCUGGAGGAAUACCGGUGGCGAAGGCGGCCCCCUGGACGAAGACUGACGCUCAGGUGCGAAAGCGUGGGGAGCAAACAGGAUUAGAUACCCUGGUAGUCCACGCCGUAAACGAUGUCGACUUGGAGGUUGUGCCCUUGAGGCGUGGCUUCCGGAGCUAACGCGUUAAGUCGACCGCCUGGGGAGUACGGCCGCAAGGUUAAAACUCAAAUGAAUUGACGGGGGCCCGCACAAGCGGUGGAGCAUGUGGUUUAAUUCGAUGCAACGCGAAGAACCUUACCUGGUCUUGACAUCCACGGAAGUUUUCAGAGAUGAGAAUGUGCCUUCGGGAACCGUGAGACAGGUGCUGCAUGGCUGUCGUCAGCUCGUGUUGUGAAAUGUUGGGUUAAGUCCCGCAACGAGCGCAACCCUUAUCCUUUGUUGCCAGCGGUCCGGCCGGGAACUCAAAGGAGACUGCCAGUGAUAAACUGGAGGAAGGUGGGGAUGACGUCAAGUCAUCAUGGCCCUUACGACCAGGGCUACACACGUGCUACAAUGGCGCAUACAAAGAGAAGCGACCUCGCGAGAGCAAGCGGACCUCAUAAAGUGCGUCGUAGUCCGGAUUGGAGUCUGCAACUCGACUCCAUGAAGUCGGAAUCGCUAGUAAUCGUGGAUCAGAAUGCCACGGUGAAUACGUUCCCGGGCCUUGUACACACCGCCCGUCACACCAUGGGAGUGGGUUGCAAAAGAAGUAGGUAGCUUAACCUUCGGGAGGGCGCUUACCACUUUGUGAUUCAUGACUGGGGUGAAGUCGUAACAAGGUAACCGUAGGGGAACCUGCGGUUG
Molecule: ribosomal RNA, 1522 nt
Filed under: Escherichia coli
Lineage: Bacteria; Pseudomonadati; Pseudomonadota; Gammaproteobacteria; Enterobacterales; Enterobacteriaceae
Description: bacterial SSU rRNA
Rfam family: Bacterial small subunit ribosomal RNA
Source: RNAcentral